UACGAAGGGGGCUAGCGUUGCUCGGAAUUACUGGGCGUAAAGCGCACGUAGGCGGAUUGUUAAGUCGGGGGUGAAAUCCUGGAGCUCAACUCCAGAACUGCCUUCGAUACUGGCGAUCUAGAGUCCGGGAGAGGUGAGUGGAACUGCGAGUGUAGAGGUGAAAUUCGUAGAUAUUCGCAAGAACACCAGUGGCGAAGGCGGCUCACUGGCCCGGUACUGACGCUGAGGUGCCAAAGCGUGGGGAGCAAACAGG
This 253-nucleotide ribosomal RNA is filed under the name uncultured bacterium. RNAcentral's name for it is "partial 16S ribosomal RNA". It matches the Rfam family "Bacterial small subunit ribosomal RNA", at positions 524 to 776 of the family's 1533-position model. The record is from RNAcentral.